RNAcentral lists this ribosomal RNA (804 nucleotides) under uncultured bacterium. Its description in RNAcentral is "bacterial SSU rRNA". It matches the Rfam family "Bacterial small subunit ribosomal RNA", at positions 545 to 1353 of the family's 1533-position model. The record is from RNAcentral.
CCGGAUUCAUUGUGUUUAAAGGGUGCGUAGGCGGUUUUUUAAGUCAGUGGUGAAAUCGUGCGGCUCAACCGGUAGAACAGCCAUUGAUACUGAAGGACUUGAAUAUAAUUGAGGUAAGCGGAAUGAGUAGUGUAGCGGUGAAAUGCUUAGAUAUUACUCAGAACACCAAUUGCGAAGGCAGCUUACCAAGCUAUAAUUGACGCUGAGGCACGAAAGCGUGGGGAUCGAACAGGAUUAGAUACCCUGGUAGUCCACGCCGUAAACGAUGUUCACUCGCUGUUUGCGAUAUACAGUAAGCGGCCAAGCGAAAGCAUUAAGUGAACCACCUGGGGAGUACGUCGGCAACGGUGAAACUCAAAGGAAUUGACGGGCGCCCGCACAAGCGGAGGAACAUGUGGUUUAAUUCGAUGAUACGCGAGGAACCUUACCUGGGCUUAAAUGUAGAUUGCAUGAGGUGGAAACACCCUUCCCUUCGGGGCCAUCUACAAGGUGCUGCAUGGUUGUCGUCAGCUCGUGCCGUGAGGUGUCGGGUUAAGUCCCAUAACGAGCGCAACCCCUACCGUUAGUUGCCAUCAGGUGAAGCUGGGGACUCUAGCGGGACUGCCACCGUAAGGUGAGAGGAAGGUGGGGAUGACGUCAAAUCAGCACGGCCCUUAUGUCCAGGGCUACACACGUGUUACAAUGGCAGGUACAAAGGGCAGCUACACUGCGAGGUGAUGCUAAUCUCUAAAGCCUGUCCCAGUUCGGAUUGGAGUCUGCAACCCGACUCCAUGAAGUUGGAUUCGCUAGUAAUCGCGCAUCAGC